GAUGAACGCUAGCUACAGGCUUAACACAUGCAAGUCGAGGGGCAGCAUGGUCUUAGCUUGCUAAGGCCGAUGGCGACCGGCGCACGGGUGAGUAACACGUAUCCAACCUGCCGUCUACUCUUGGACAGCCUUCUGAAAGGAAGAUUAAUACAAGAUGGCAUCAUGAGUCCGCAUGUUCACAUGAUUAAAGGUAUUCCGGUAGACGAUGGGGAUGCGUUCCAUUAGAUAGUAGGCGGGGUAACGGCCCACCUAGUCUUCGAUGGAUAGGGGUUCUGAGAGGAAGGUCCCCCACAUUGGAACUGAGACACGGUCCAA
RNAcentral lists this ribosomal RNA (315 nucleotides) under uncultured bacterium. Its description in RNAcentral is "bacterial SSU rRNA". It matches the Rfam family "Bacterial small subunit ribosomal RNA", at positions 28 to 334 of the family's 1533-position model. The record is from RNAcentral.